Molecule: ribosomal RNA, 348 nt
Filed under: Arge nigripes
Lineage: Eukaryota; Metazoa; Arthropoda; Insecta; Hymenoptera; Argidae
Description: partial 16S ribosomal RNA
Source: RNAcentral
AUAAUAAUUAGUCUUUUAAAUGAAGGCUGGAAUGAAUGAUUGGACGAGGUARAUUCUGUCUCAUUAAAAUUAAGAUUUAAAUUUAAUUUUUAAGUUAAAAAGCUUAAAUAUUAUUAAAGGACGAGAAGACCCUAUAGAGCUUUAUAAUAUAAUUAUUAAUAAUUUUUAAUUUUAUUUUAUUAAUUUAAUAUUAUUUUAUUGGGGCGAUAGGAAAAUUUAUUUAACUUUUUUAAUUUUAUUACAUUUAUUUAUGAAUUUUUGAUCCUAAAUUUUAGAUUAWUAGAUUAAGUUACCUUAGGGAUAACAGCGUUAUUUUUUUUUAGAGUUCAUAUUAAUAAAAAAGAUUGC